Oncorhynchus keta (chum salmon) is the source of this 665-nucleotide long non-coding RNA. RefSeq lists it as uncharacterized. Lineage: Eukaryota; Metazoa; Chordata; Actinopteri; Salmoniformes; Salmonidae. The record is from RefSeq and is a predicted model, not a curated record. The transcript is spliced from 3 exons.
UUCCACUCUGCCACAGUGUUUUCCUGCAGUCGACCAGACCCAGCAGUAAAGUACAGGGAGGCGAUUGACCUGGGGACUCCUGGAGGGUGGAGGGCAACAGGCUAGAUUUGUCCUGUUGGCCGCAAGAAAUGGUCUGCAAUGCUGACUGUGUGAUCAGCAAUGUUGUGGCAAAAUGGCCUGGCUCAGUCCAUGACUCCAGAAUCUUUCGGGCCUCUGAAAUCUAUCAGUGCCUAUCACAAGGUGAAUUCUCUGGUGUGUUGCUGGGAGACAGGGGUAUGGCUGCCAGCCUUUUCUCCUGACACCUUUCACAGACCCCCAGGAAGCACAGCAGGCCUACAACCAUGCCCAUGCCAGGACCAGGGCCAGAGUUGAAAUGACCUUUGGCCUCCUGAAGGCACGCUUUCACUGCCUUCACAAAUUAAGGGUCAGCCCUGUUAGGGCAUGUGAUAUUACUGUGGCUUGUGCUGUCCUCCACAAUGUGGCCUGCCUGAGGAAGGAGAGGGCCCCCAGAGUGCCACCAGCCAUGGACUGGGACAAUCCGGCAAUCUUCCCUGAUGACGACAGUGGUCGGCUGCUGAGGGACCAAUAACGUGUUGAAUUAUUUUAGUUAGUAUGUGUGCUUUCAAUUUUGGUUAAAUAUGUCUUGCGGUGGCAGAGGAAUUUGG